UACGGAGGGUGCAAGCGUUAUCCGGAAUCAUUGGGUUUAAAGGGUGCGCAGGCGGGGCUUUAAGUCAGUGGUGAAAUCCCUUCGCUCAACGAAGGAACUGCCAUUGAUACUGAAGCUCUUGAAUUUAGUUGGCGUGGGCGGAAUGUGCCAUGUAGCGGUGAAAUGCUUAGAUAUGGCACAGAACACCGAUCGCGAAGGCAGCUCACGAAACUAAUAUUGACGCUCAGGCACGAAAGCAUGGGGAGCAAACAGG
RNAcentral lists this ribosomal RNA (253 nucleotides) under uncultured prokaryote. Its description in RNAcentral is "partial 16S ribosomal RNA". It matches the Rfam family "Bacterial small subunit ribosomal RNA", at positions 524 to 776 of the family's 1533-position model. The record is from RNAcentral.